AAGUCGUAACAAGGUUUCCGUAGGUGAACCUGCGGAAGGAUCAUUAACAGUGCUCGUAGUGCUCUUGCGCAAGCAAAUCACUACAACACGCGCAAGCAAAUCACUACAACACGUACAAUCAUGUGUGAAUCGUUUUGACCAUCCAAUGUGCGUUUGUGAGGACCAGGGCGUCGCUCAGGUACAUGCUCAAUGUUGCGAAAUGGGAAUAGGCUUUGAUGUCUUACUCUUUAGGGAGCAACGACUGAUCUUUCGAAGCCAUCUCGCGCACUGAUAUCAUGCUCCUGUUUGGAACUACUACCUCUCGAGCGCACGUUCAUUUUACCCCACCUGUCCUUUUGAACACUGAAUAGUAAAGCUUAGUUGAAAAACUUGCAAAACUUUUAGCAAUGGAUCUCUAGGCUCUU
Molecule: unclassified non-coding RNA, 404 nt
Filed under: fungal sp.
Lineage: Eukaryota; Fungi
Description: partial internal transcribed spacer region
Rfam family: Eukaryotic small subunit ribosomal RNA (bases 1-46)
Source: RNAcentral